GAUGAACGCUGGCGGCGUGCCUAACACAUGCAAGUCGAGCGAUUUACUUCGGUAAAGAGCGGCGGACGGGUGAGUAACGCGUGGGUAACCUGCCCUGUACACACGGAUAACAUACCGAAAGGUAUGCUAAUACGGGAUAAUAUGCUUUUAUCGCAUGGUAGAAGUAUCAAAGCUCCGGCGGUACAGGAUGGACCCGCGUCUGAUUAGCUAGUUGGUAAGGUAACGGCUUACCAAGGCGACGAUCAGUAGCCGACCUGAGAGGGUGAUCGGCCACAUUGGAACUGAGACACGGUCCAAACUCCUACGGGAGACAGCAGUGGGGAAUAUUGCACAAUGGGCGAAAGCCUGAUGCAGCAACGCCGCGUGAGCGAUGAAGGCCUUCGGGUCGUAAAGCUCUGUCCUCAAGGAAGAUAAUGACGGUACUUGAGGAGGAAGCCCCGGCUAACUACGUGCCAGCCGCCGCCGUAA
This 468-nucleotide ribosomal RNA is filed under the name uncultured bacterium. RNAcentral's name for it is "partial 16S ribosomal RNA". It matches the Rfam family "Bacterial small subunit ribosomal RNA", at positions 28 to 523 of the family's 1533-position model. The record is from RNAcentral.